RNAcentral lists this ribosomal RNA (251 nucleotides) under uncultured prokaryote. RNAcentral's name for it is "partial 16S rRNA". It matches the Rfam family "Bacterial small subunit ribosomal RNA", at positions 525 to 776 of the family's 1533-position model. The record is from RNAcentral.
ACAGAGGUGGCAAGCGUUGUUCGGAUUUACUGGGCGUAAAGGGUGCGUAGGUGGCUUUGUGUGUCGGGCGUGAAAUCCCACUGCUCAACGGUGGAACGCCGCCCGAAACUGCAGGGCUGGAGUGCAGGAGAGGAGAGCGGAAUUCUUGGUGUGGCGCUCUAUGGAGUGGAUCUCACGAUGAGCCCCAGUGGCGUGGGCGGCAAACUGGAAUACAACCCAGAGUGAGGCGCGUGACCGUUGGGUCAAGUGUG